GGAAACUGUCAGGACUCUGGAAAUCCCCACCAGCUCCUUGAGAAGCCAGCUUGAUUAGGACAGUGAAACCUGGUGAACUUGGCCAGUCAGCACCUGAACUACCAGAAAAUCCCUCCCUCUGAAGUCACUGGAAACUGUCAGGACUCUGGAAAUCCCCACCAGCUCCUUGAGAAGCCAGCUUGAUUAGGACAGUGAAACCUGGUGAACUUGGCCAGUCAGCACCUGAACUACCAGAAAAUCCCUCCCUCUGAAGUCACUGGAAACUGUCAGGACUCUGGAAAUCCCCACCAGCUCCUUGAGAAGCCAGCUUGAUUAGGACAGUGAAACCUGGUGAACUUGGCCAGUCAGCACCUGAACUACCAGAAAAUCCCUCCCUCUGAAGUCACUGGAAACUGUCAGGACUCUGGAAAUCCCCACCAGCUCCUUGAGAAGCCAGCUUGAUUAGGACAGUGAAAGUAUGUGCUAACCUUCA
Molecule: long non-coding RNA, 472 nt
Organism: Protopterus annectens (West African lungfish)
Lineage: Eukaryota; Metazoa; Chordata; Ceratodontiformes; Protopteridae
Exons: 3
Source: RefSeq, a predicted model, not a curated record